RNAcentral lists this non-coding RNA (182 nucleotides) under Candidatus Zhuqueibacterota. RNAcentral describes it as "Candidate division Lysine sequence". It matches the Rfam family "Lysine riboswitch aptamer". Rfam says of the family: Riboswitches are metabolite binding domains within certain messenger RNAs that serve as precision sensors for their corresponding targets. Allosteric rearrangement of mRNA structure is mediated by ligand binding, and this results in modulation of gene expression. Lineage: Bacteria; Pseudomonadati. The record is from RNAcentral.
CGCCUAAAUAGAGGCGCCUGUUGCAUGAGUACCCGUCUUUUCAAGAGAAGCGGCUCACAAGGACGAUGAGGAAAGGGUAACGGGCCGAAACGAAAGCGUACCGCUCACCGCUUGCGUUGGGUCAGCAUGUGAAUAACUGCUGAACUGUCACGGUAAAAGAGCCGUGGAGCGCUAUUUAUCCG